AAUGUACAGAACUGACUCUCUUUGUUCGAAAAGCGUGGCAUUGCUGGUUGUAAAGGCUGUUCAUGUGACCAGUCGGCGAUCGGUUUGUCUGCUGUGGCGUUAAUGGAGGAGUGUUCGAUUCGCGGUAUGGUUGGCUUCGGCUGAACAGACGCUUAUUGGUCAUUCUUCUUGCUGUGGCGGUAUAACUGAUGAACCGUAGUCGUGUGUGACUUACCUUUUGAAUCGGCGUUGCUGUGCGAAGUAGAGUGACAGUUUCGGCUGUCGAGGGUCGACCCAUUUGGGAAAUUGUGCGGUGCGGCUUCGGUCGCGCGGCAUCUCAAUUGGACCUGAUAUCAGGCAAGAUUACCCGCUGAACUUAAGCAUAUCAAUAAGCGGAGGA
This 379-nucleotide ribosomal RNA is filed under the name uncultured Oomycota. RNAcentral describes it as "eukaryotic LSU rRNA". The stretch from base 323 to 379 matches the Rfam family "Eukaryotic large subunit ribosomal RNA", at positions 1 to 57 of the family's 3401-position model. Lineage: Eukaryota; Oomycota. The record is from RNAcentral.